This 492-nucleotide ribosomal RNA is filed under the name uncultured bacterium. RNAcentral describes it as "partial 16S ribosomal RNA". It matches the Rfam family "Bacterial small subunit ribosomal RNA", at positions 36 to 507 of the family's 1533-position model. The record is from RNAcentral.
CUUUCCCUCUUUCUUUAGGCCUAACACAUGCAAGUCGAACGGCAGCACAGUAAGAGCUUGCUCUUACGGGUGGCGAGUGGCGGACGGGUGAGGAAUACAUCGGAAUCUACUUUUUCGUGGGGGAUAACGUAGGGAAACUUACGCUAAUACCGCAUACGGCCUACGGGUGAAAGCAGGGGAUCUUCGGACCUUGCGCGAUUGAAUGAGCCGAUGUCGGAUUAGCUAGUUGGCGGGGUAAAGGCCCACCAAGGCGACGAUCCGUAGCUGGUCUGAGAGGAUGAUCAGCCACACUGGAACUGAGACACGGUCCAGACUCCUACGGGAGGCAGCAGUGGGGAAUAUUGGACAAUGGGCGCAAGCCUGAUCCAGCCAUACCGCGUGGGUGAAGAAGGCCUUCGGGUUGUAAAGCCCUUUUGUUGGGAAAGAAAAGCAGCAGGUUAAUACCCCGCUGUUCUGACGGUACCCAAAGAAUAAGCACCGGCUAACUUCGUG